RNAcentral lists this ribosomal RNA (560 nucleotides) under uncultured bacterium. RNAcentral's name for it is "bacterial SSU rRNA". It matches the Rfam family "Bacterial small subunit ribosomal RNA", at positions 338 to 916 of the family's 1533-position model. The record is from RNAcentral.
CCUACGGGAGGCAGCAGUGGGGAAUCUUGCGCAAUGGGCGAAAGCCUGACGCAGCCAUGCCGCGUGAAUGAUGAAGGUCUUAGGAUUGUAAAAUUCUUUCAGUAGGGACGAUAAUGACGGUACCUACAGAAGAAGCCCCGGCUAACUUCGUGCCAGCAGCCGCGGUAAUACGAAGGGGGCUAGCGUUGCUCGGAAUUACUGGGCGUAAAGGGAGCGUAGGCGGGUUAUCAAGUUGGAGGUGAAAGCCCAGGGCUCAACCUUGGAAUUGCCUUCAAAACUGAUAGCCUAGAGUAUGAUAGAGGUAAGUGGAACUCCGAGUGUAGAGGUGAAAUUCGUAGAUAUUCGGAAGAACACCAGUGGCGAAGGCGACUUACUGGAUCAUGACUGACGCUGAGGCUCGAAAGCGUGGGGAGCAAACAGGAUUAGAUACCCUGGUAGUCCACGCUGUAAACGAUGAUUGCUAGUUGUCGGACGGCAUGCCGUUCGGUGACGCAGCUAACGCAUUAAGCAAUCCGCCUGGGGAGUACGGUCGCAAGAUUAAAACUCAAAUGAAUUGACGG